UACAGAGGUCCCGAGCGUUGUUCGGAUUCACUGGGCGUAAAGGGUGCGUAGGUGGCUUGGAAAGUUUGAUGUGAAAGCUCAGGGCUUAACCCUGAAAUGGCAUUGAAUACUACUCGGCUGGAGGUUUGGAGGGGGGACUGGAAUUCUCGGUGUAGCAGUGAAAUGCGUAGAUAUCGAGAGGAACACCAGUGGCGAAGGCGAGUCCCUGGACAACACCUGACACUGAGGCACGAAAGCCGGGGGAGCAAACAGG
Molecule: ribosomal RNA, 253 nt
Filed under: uncultured prokaryote
Description: partial 16S ribosomal RNA
Rfam family: Bacterial small subunit ribosomal RNA
Source: RNAcentral